Molecule: non-coding RNA, 633 nt
Organism: Pelobates cultripes (western spadefoot toad)
Lineage: Eukaryota; Metazoa; Chordata; Amphibia; Anura; Pelobatidae
Source: the annotation of a GenBank genome assembly
GUACAACAGUGCAGAUGGCAUAUCAGUUACAUGGCUUUCAGAGUGGACAGUGCAAUCACUUUCACUCCCAUCACUCUGAGCUUCUUGUUCACUGUCACAAUUCUGAUCUGCAUCAGAGUUCUGCCAGUGUACAGAACCAUGUCUGUAUGCACCCGAUAUUGUUUGACCCACACAUUUUUCUGGCCAGGGAUAUCCAAGGAUGUGCGGCAGUGCUGCCAGUCAUGCGACAUCUGCCAGCGAGUAGGCAAGAGGGGUGACCGCCACAAGGCCAAAUUAUGCCCACUGCCCGUCAUUGAAGAACCCUUUAGUAGAGUGGCCGUAGAUAUAGUAGGCCCCUUACCAAAGCCCAGUCCCUCUGGCAAGAAAUAUAUUUUAACCGUGGUAGACUACGCCACCCGGUACCCAGAGGCAGUAGCUCUCUCCAAUAUUCACGCUGAGACUGUGGCCGAGGCCUUAAUAAAAAUAUUCUCACGGGUGGGGUUUCCCCAGGAGAUCAUAUCAGAUAGGGGUACCCAGUUCAUUGCCGAAGUCACCCAAAAACUAUGGAAAAUAUGUGGCAUUAAGCCUAUAGUGAAUUCCGUGUACCACCCCCAGUCAAAUGGGUUAUGCGAAAGAUUUAACGGUACCCUAAAG